UACGUAGGGGGCAAGCGUUAUCCGGAUUUACUGGGUGUAAAGGGAGCGUAGGUGGCGUGCCAAGUCAGGAGUGAAAACCCAGGGCCCAACUCUGGGACUGCUCUUGAAACUGGCAGGCUUGAGUGCUGGAGAGGUAAGCGGAAUUCCUAGUGUAGCGGUGAAAUGCGUAGAUAUUAGGAGGAACACCAGUGGCGAAGGCGGCUUACUGGACAGUGACUGACACUGAGGCUCGAAAGCGUGGGGAGCAAACAGG
Molecule: ribosomal RNA, 253 nt
Filed under: uncultured bacterium
Lineage: Bacteria
Description: partial 16S ribosomal RNA
Rfam family: Bacterial small subunit ribosomal RNA
Source: RNAcentral